Molecule: ribosomal RNA, 467 nt
Filed under: uncultured bacterium
Lineage: Bacteria
Description: bacterial SSU rRNA
Rfam family: Bacterial small subunit ribosomal RNA
Source: RNAcentral
GAUGAACGCUGGCGGCGUGCUUAACACAUGCAAGUCGAACGAAGAUGCCGGAGUGCUUGCACUUUGGCAGACUGAGUGGCGGACGGGUGAGUAACGCGUGGGUAACCUGCCUUAUACAGGGGGAUAACAGUUGGAAACGACUGCUAAUACCGCAUAAGCGCACGGUAUCGCAUGAUACAGUGUGAAAAACUCCGGUGGUAUAAGAUGGACCCGCGUCUGAUUAGCUAGUUGGUGAGGUAACGGCCCACCAAGGCGACGAUCAGUAGCCGGCCUGAGAGGGUGAACGGCCACAUUGGGACUGAGGCACGGCCCAAACUCCUACGGGAGGCAGCAGUGGGGAAUAUUGCACAAUGGGGAAACCCUGAUGCAGCGACGCCGCGUGAGUGAUGAAGUAUUUCGGUAUGUAAAACUCUAUCAGCAGGGAANAUAAUGACGUACCUGACUAAGAAGCACCGGCUAAAUACGUG